Long non-coding RNA from Plectropomus leopardus (leopard coralgrouper), 1280 nucleotides. RefSeq lists it as uncharacterized. The record is from RefSeq and is a predicted model, not a curated record. Lineage: Eukaryota; Metazoa; Chordata; Actinopteri; Perciformes; Serranidae.
GUCCUCGCGGUUUGGCCCAUAAGUCCGUCUAUUGCCCAUUAAUUGGAAACGAAGCUCUUUUGUGGAUCUCCUGCACUUAUCCGGGUUUGGAAAUGGCAUUAAGGAUAUCUUCACCCGUCCACUUGGAGAAGAGUUACCAAAUUUCCAGAGCUUUUGCACAUCUGACCACCUAAGCCUAUAGACGAGCAUUCCUAUCCAAUACCACUUCUGCAGAGGACGUAUAGCCACUUGCGGGACAUCCCCCCAGCCCAUCAACAGAGCCCGCCCCAUGCUUCAAAAUGCACACAGCGCACCGUCACCUGCAAGUGGGCCUCCAACAACACAGCCAUGGUUGAAAACUACCUCAUGAUCUUGCCCUAAUGACCUGCAGCACUGGUCACAGGCCAGCCAAAUGUUCAACAGAGCCACAUUUUCUGUGAUGCCUCUAAGAAGGCCUACAGGUCUGUCUCAUACCCUAAGCAGAGGAUCAGGAGGGCCACAACAACAGACAGCAUGGCAUGGUAUGACCCCAGUCGCCCUGGAUGACAACGCUGAGAGAUGGAUACAAGAUUAACAUCUACAACAGAUCGUCCCAGAUCAAAUGGACUAUGAAACCCUGUUGAAGCUGUGGUAUAGCAGAGGUUUUGGCUCGCAGCCAGCAAGGUCUACUCCUCUGGCGCGACACAAGACAGGAAGCUGACAUAAAAGAAUGGAGGGGACCGUCUGUGAGGGACUCAGGAGCCAAGGCAGGAGUCAAGACAGAAGCCACUGACGAGGUCGGAAGUUAUUGUUUCAGCUUACAGGCAUCAACGGUGACAAGAAUCUUAUCCCUCUAUUGAACAUAUUGUGAUCCCAUGGUGAUUGCCCCAAGUAUGGAAAACAUUCCAGGACAGGAACUUCAUCACCAGAGUUUCUCCCUGCUCAAAUGUUGUCAUUUGGCCUGUGAGCAAAGCAUUAAACCCCCGUAAAUACACCAGUGGAGUGACUUGCUGGCCAAAACACAGCAAUGCAUUUGCGAAAAAGAAGACAACAGCUCCAAACAACUACCAGACUGCACUGUAAAGGAUCACAGACCUCCCAUCAGGAAUGUGAAGUUAACCUGAUCACAAACGGCUAUCAAUUGCUCAAGAAACACGUUGGGACUUUUGCCCCAGAAUAGGAACCACUAGACCACUUUUGAAGAGCACACACCUCAGAGAAGGAAAGACUGACCCAUGCUUGGUGAUAAACUUGUAACUCGGAGUGGAGAGGGGGUCAGACUUCAGCGUAGCAACGCAGGAGUCGACAUAUAGAAGAAGAGG